Molecule: long non-coding RNA, 944 nt
Organism: Chinchilla lanigera (long-tailed chinchilla)
Lineage: Eukaryota; Metazoa; Chordata; Mammalia; Rodentia; Chinchillidae
Exons: 3
Source: RefSeq, a predicted model, not a curated record
AUUUUCCUAUAAAUAGGAUGAAGUGACCCCAGACUUGGUUAGUUACCUAGGCCAGAGUGCUCAGUUACCCUUCCUGUGAUUCUCUUCUUUCUCCCCAUGAUGACAAAAUAGCUGCUCUGGAUCCAGCACCACAUCCCUUAUGAUAUCAUCCAAACACAGGAAGGACAAGGCCAGCUUCCUCUUUGGGCCUCUUCCAUUUUGGUUCACCAGAAGAACCUCCCUAGCAGUCUUCCCCUCUCUCUCUUGGUCUGGAGUUGAGCUGCAUGCCCGCCCCAUGCCUAUGACUGGCUCAGAGUCAGGAGAGCCUGGCAGAGAGCCGGAGCUUAAGGACACAAGCUCAUCCCAGAUACCUUUCAGGUUGGGAGUUUCUUUCCCCAUACAUUUGGAGGUUUCCACUGAGAUCAUUGGAUGGAGACUUAAAGCUAUACGCCUACCCAAGAUGAAAACGCCUGGUGUCUCUCGAGGGCCUUUAGACAGACCCUCUGGAGAGUAUCCCCAACUGCCAAUCAACACCUAGGACCUCCUUCAGCCUGAAGAAGCCAGAGUGGUCACCGCCUGUUUUCCCUCAGGGCAGUUUGGGUUAGUUCUUCAGAGGGGGGAAUGUUGUAGGCAACCGAGUAGAUAGAAAUAUUAGAAAUAUUAUAGGCAGUCAGACAGGGCCAGGCCCUCGAAGGAGCCAGUGUGGAAGACCAGAUACCUUGCAACUGCAGGAGAGGCAGGCACUCCCACUGUGGGCCAGACCUCAAGACAAAAGAUGAAACAAAUGCGCCCACACACCUCCCCAGGGAUGGACAUCAGGGAUUGAUAUUCUAAAUAGGCAUCAAUCACCUUGAAAAAGCCAGGAAGAGUCAAUAACCCAACCAUCCAAAGGAAAGACCACUGUUCUGUAUUCAUGCCCACUUGCUAUGUGACUUGCUCCCCCAUUUGAUCCUGAUUUAAUCAAU